GGUACAACUCUUUUGGCUACAAGAUGUAAAAUUUAGAUAAACCUAAAUUCCUCAACUAACUAAAGGGGCAACAACAUUUAGACAUGACGGGGGGGGGGGGAGGGGGGGGAGGGGGGUCCGAGAUUUCUUAGGCUAAAGGAUCACACCGUGAAACAUAAAUAAUACUUUUUAACACUUAAGUGCAAUGGUUUCGCAUAUUAUCCAGCAAGCACAAACUAUCAUUUCUAGCUACCCGAUUACUAUCUUCAAUUGUUUACCUAAAGCGCACUAAUUCAAUCUAAGUUGUACCCUAUAUAUGUCUACCUAUCCCAUGCCUAUGGUCCAGGAGGUAUUGGACCGCUAUACAAGUGGUUCUCGACUCAUCCUAGGCUUUUCAAAAUUAAAAUACUAGGUGCCACAUAAUUAACAAACUGAACUUCAUAAAAAGUACAGUUAGCACAAAUGGCUCAUGUUUACCUCCACAAAAGACCUGCAUGAAUGUCAACAAAUAUCGAUUAACAGUUAUGGAGAAAUGGCAGAAUUGAUAAGUGAAUUGCCCUAUGAAUAUGCUCUUCUAGUCGCAAGAUUAAGUCGGGCAGUCAUGAGCUAAUGCGCAUUGAAUUAAUUAGUCCUAAAAUACGGUUUCUAUGUGGAAUCGCAGACGACCAGUUGCAACUAAUUAAAUUCAGAACUUAUACAUGGAUAAUCAAAGAAGACAAACUUCAUUAUUUAAGUACUAUGGGCAAGAUUUCUAAAUGAUUAUGAUUCAGACUGUUUUUAAAAUGACACAGGAGUUAAGUGAUACAAGUUCUUAUUUAUGGGACCUAUAGCCAUUAUUCCUAGGUAUGAAGUAUUAAGAGCAUAGUUUGUAGUAGGAUCAAUUGAACUAAUUAAAAAUCCCAUAUGCAUGAUACUAAAAUAUUAAAUCCUAAUACAUGAUACUAUAUGCAUGCUUUUAACCCAUUUAUGUAGUAAAUAAACUACCCCAAGCCCCUCUUAAGACUAUAUUCCCCAUCAUCUAUUUUUACAAGUUAUUACAGAUCAAAUAGAAUAGUUACAGGCACAAUUAUAAAACAACCCAAUAACGCAUCUGGGCCUUCAAAUAGACAUAGAACUUCAUGCGGGCGGCAAGCCCAAACUCUAGGUGCAAAGGCCACGCUGACAGUGUAUUUCUGACCUAAUACCAAACCUGGCCCAACAAACCAGUCCCAAAAGAAGCAACUACUUUGUUUACCCAUUAUUAUUAACAAGCAACAGGAACGCAAAGAACAUAAGUGAAAGCCUACGCAAAUCAGUUAUUUAGGCGACUUCAAAUUUAGGAAAGAACAUAUGCACAUUGGGUCCUUAUUUUUACAACUAACAAAGAACAAGAACCUUUAAAUAAUAUCAUAGGAUGUGAUAUUUAAGAGGUGAAAGAGCACAUAAAUAAGGAAAGGACACCUUUGAAAGUCUAUUAGCCUCAUAAAAUCUUAUGAAAUGGUAGGAACAUGAAGGGGGUAUACAAAACAUAUAGGUUAGAACAAACAUACAUCUGAUGGCUUUACCAGGUACAUAGAAUUAGUUCACAAUGACAGCCUCACAAAGAUAGACCUCCUAGAGUAGUCAGUACUUGAACGCAAAGAACAUAACAGACACGAGUCCUUCACAGGAAAGACUUAGCAUGAAAGUUUAACAUGGUCAUGAACUAAUCCUAGGAGGGUAACUAAAUACAAGCACUUACAGGAAAAGCUCUAACAUGAAAACCUAAAAAUAAAGCAUGGUCAAGGACUAAUUCUGAGGAGAUGGCAAAUACUAGUUCAUACAUGAAAGGCUUAGCAUGCAAAUCUAAGAUAAAAAAUAUCCAGGAAAUAAUUCCGAGAAGAUAACAAUAGCAGUCCUCACGGGGAAGACUUCAGCAUGAAAAUCUAAGGUAAUACAUAAUCAAGAACUUAAUCCUGAGAACAUAACAAGCAGAAGUCCUUACAGGAAAGACUUUACAUGAAAAUUCAGGGCAGACAUGGUCAUGAUUUAGUCAUAACAAAAAAUAAAUCCUUACACAAAGACUUAACAUUAACAUACAUGGAUCCUCAAAACAAUAUUUGACUAUGAAAUUGCAGCAAAUCAUACGACAAAAGUGCAAUAUUAGAGUUCACAAAUAGCAGGGUUACCUAAGUCAUGCUCGUCUAUUUUGAUAGGUGUUUACACAGUAUUGGCACACAAAAUACAUGUAACAUGAACAAGUAGAGAAGUAAGAAUUAAAACUGUAAGAGUCAAGAGCACUAACCAGUUGCAAAGAUAAAAGAGCAAAAGAGUAAGAAAAUUAGCAUUUCAGUAGUGGCUCAGUAGUAGCAAUUGAAGGAGGAUAGUGAGAACCCCAAGUCUCCGGUGCUUCAGAGUUAACAAGAGCCUCGAAAGGGCUUCGAGAAGUGCUUUCACUAGAGGAGGUAAUUAAGAAAUACCACGGUGGCCUUGUCCUUUAGCCGGAUAAGAACCAAAUCGAACACAAUAGUUUCAGAGAACCAGAACACAAUAUAACAAUUUGCGAGUGUUCGGGAGUAGUCAAUAAAGUAUGUUUAGGGGAAUUGCGGAAGGGGUUUAUAUAGUGUUAGAUUCACAUAAUCAGAAAAAGAAAAAGAUCAAUCAAAUAACAAAAUCGAAUAAAACUCAUGUAAACCUUAAUCGAGAAGAAAUCGACGGAAAUACGCAGGGACAUAGAAAUAUUCUCCCUUUCUGGAUUUACAGAGCCACAAUCGUGUCCGGAUCCAUAAGGUUGAAGUCAUAUCAACCCGAUUCAGGAGAAUCAUACUUUCCAUAGAUGGAUUGGUAACGAAUGUUACCAUAACUGAGCGAGUGAGCACGAAUAAAGUAUGUGAGCCUGCGUAUGGACGCGUAAAAAGGAAAGAACAGAGAAAAUCUUCAUGGCCGGCUAGGGUUUCAUCGUGAGCUAUGAAGAGAGUGACUGAGGGUGG
This 2927-nucleotide long non-coding RNA is filed under the name Nicotiana tabacum (common tobacco). Its description in RNAcentral is "long non-coding RNA (NTAB_LNC017230)". The record is from RNAcentral. Lineage: Eukaryota; Viridiplantae; Streptophyta; Magnoliopsida; Solanales; Solanaceae.